This 1439-nucleotide ribosomal RNA is filed under the name uncultured bacterium. Its description in RNAcentral is "bacterial SSU rRNA". It matches the Rfam family "Bacterial small subunit ribosomal RNA". The record is from RNAcentral.
AGGGUUUGAUCAUGGCUCAGAACGUACGCUGGCGGCACGCCUAACACAUGCAAGUCGAACGAAGUAGCAAUACUUAGUGGCAGACGGGUGAGUAACAUGUAGGUAUCUGCCCUUUGGCCUGGAAUAACACGAGGAAACUUGUGCUAAUACCGGAUAAGUCUUUACGGAGAAAGCUUUAUGCACCAUUGGAUGAGCCUGCACUUGAUUAGUUUGUUGGUGGGGUAAUGGCCUACCAAGACUGUGAUCAAUAGCUGAUUUGAGAGGAUGAUCAGCCACAUUGGGACUGAGACACGGCCCAAACUCCUACGGGAGGCAGCAGUGGGGAAUCUUGCACAAUGGAGGAAACUCUGAUGCAGCGAUGCCGCGUGAGUGAAGAAGGCCCUUGGGUUGUAAAGCUCUUUCGUCGGGGAAGAAAAUGACUGUACCCGAAUAAGAAGGUCCGGCUAACUUCGUGCCAGCAGCCGCGGUAAUACGAAGGGACCUAGCGUAGUUCGGAAUUACUGGGCUUAAAGAGUUCGUAGGUGGUUGAAAAAGUUAGUGGUGAAAUCCCAGAGCUUAACUCUGGAACUGCCAUUAAAACUUUUCAGCUAGAGUAUGAUAGAGGAAAGCAGAAUUUCUAGUGUAGAGGUGAAAUUCGUAGAUAUUAGAAAGAAUACCAAUUGCGAAGGCAGCUUUCUGGAUCAUUACUGACACUGAGGAACGAAAGCAUGGGUAGCGAAGAGGAUUAGAUACCCUCGUAGUCCAUGCCGUAAACGAUGUGUGUUAGACGUUGGAAAUUUAUUUUCAGUGUCGCAGGGAAACCGAUAAACACACCGCCUGGGGAGUACGACCGCAAGGUUAAAACUCAAAUGAAUUGACGGGGACCCGCACAAGUAGUGGAGCAUGUGGUUUAAUUCGAAGAUACGCGCAGAACCUUACCAACACUUGACAUGUUCGUCGCGACUCUAAGAGAUUAGAGUUUUCGGUUCGGCCGGACGAAACACAGGUGCUGCAUGGCUGUCGUCAGCUCGUGUCGUGAGAUGUUGGGUUAAGUCCCGCAACGAGCGCAACCCUCACUUUUAGUUGCCAUCAUUAAGUUGGGCACUCUGAAAGAACUGCCAGUGAUAAGCUGGAGGAAGGUGGGGAUGACGUCAAGUCCUCAUGGCCCUUACGUGUUGGGCUACACACGUGCUACAAUGGUAUCUACAACAGGAAGCAAGACUGCGAAGUUAAGCAAAUCCCUAAAAGAUACCUCAGUUCGGAUUGCACUCUGCAACUCGAGUGCAUGAAGCUGGAAUUACUAGUAAUCGUGGAUCAGCGUGCCACGGUGAAUGCGUUCCCGGGUCUUGUACACACCGCCCGUCACACCAUGGGAGUUGGUUCUACCUUAAGGCAAGGUUUCAAACCCUUGACCACGGUAUAGUCAGCGACUGGGGUGAAGUCAUAACAAGGUAGCCGUA